AGCAGCCGCGGUAAUUCCAGCUCCAAUAGCGUAUAUUAAAGUUGUUGCAGUUAAAAAGCUCGUAGUUGAAUUUCGGGAUUGACACAUCGGUCGUGCCUUAAGGGUAUGAACUGGUGUAGUCAAUUUCUCACCUUCUGGAGAACCGCGAUGCCCUUAAUUGGGUGUCACGGGGAACCAGGACCUUUACUUUGAAAAAAUUAGAGUGUUUAAAGCAGGCAUUUUGCUUGAAUACAUUAGCAUGGAAUAAUAUAAUAGGACGGCAUGAUUCUAUUUUGUUGGUUUCUAGGAUCACCGUAAUGAUUAAUAGGGAUAGUUGGGGGCAUUAGUAUUCAAUUGUCAGAGGUGAAAUUCUUGGAUUUAG
This 361-nucleotide ribosomal RNA is filed under the name uncultured Entrophosporaceae. Its description in RNAcentral is "SSU rRNA". It matches the Rfam family "Eukaryotic small subunit ribosomal RNA", at positions 569 to 929 of the family's 1831-position model. The record is from RNAcentral. Lineage: Eukaryota; Fungi; Glomeromycota; Glomeromycetes; Entrophosporales; Entrophosporaceae.